GAACACAGGAUGUUCUAGAGUUCUGACAGCAGGAUUGGCAAGGGGGCAUGGCGGUACACGGAGGGGGUUGCAGGAGCAUGGCUGUGAUGCUGCACUUGCACAUGGGGCCUGGACUUACUCCCACGGAGACGCUGAUUGUGUGCCAGCAAGGGAAGUGAGAGAGAACAGGAAAGAGAGACAGAGACAGCACUCCCAACUGCAUAUGGACCCCACAACCCACUCGAGUCUUCAGCUAGUCCUGGAUCCCCGGCAAGCAUGUGCCCUGUGCUCAAGGAGUUCCAGACAGCGACCCUCCCACACAUUUCUUGACACCGUGUUUGGCAGACAGUACCGAGGAGAAUGCAGCCAGUUCCAGCAGCUUUGCCACAGCUCCAAAAGCCAAGGGGGACACAGGUAAUAAAAAGUAA
This is a long non-coding RNA of Tupaia belangeri chinensis (Chinese tree shrew), 407 nucleotides long. RefSeq lists it as uncharacterized. The transcript has 3 exons. NCBI's taxonomy places the organism in Eukaryota, Metazoa, Chordata, Mammalia, Scandentia, Tupaiidae. The record is from RefSeq and is a predicted model, not a curated record.